Molecule: non-coding RNA, 351 nt
Organism: Pelobates cultripes (western spadefoot toad)
Lineage: Eukaryota; Metazoa; Chordata; Amphibia; Anura; Pelobatidae
Source: the annotation of a GenBank genome assembly
CAUGCUGUACAGCUGUUCUGGAAUUCUAAAUUAAUUUUAUUUAUUAUGGUUAAAAACCUUCUUGCUUCUUAACCUGUGAACCAGAACUGUAACACUAGUCAGGUUCCAGAAGCAGUUUUUAUGCAGUAAGUUAUAUAGUUAGCAUGUUUAUGUAACAAUAUUUGGCAAAGUCAUGGGCUUAACCUGCUGCGGCCAUAACCUGGUGUAACUAAUAUUUAUUUGCCAAAACAGGUGAUCUUACCAUAUAUACUUGUGUAUAAGUCGAUCUCAUGUAUAAGUCAAGGGCAGUUUUGUGACCAACAAUUGUGAAAUAUGCUAUGCCUCGUGGAUAAGUCGAGGGUAAAACUUGGG